UCAACUAACACCACCUACAGAAGCUGACAAUGACUGUUGGGCUUUUCCAGUGGAUGCCGGAACCCAUUUCUUGCAGCCUGGUGGGGGGGGGGGGAGGCAGAAUAACUGGCAGCAGGAGGUGAGUGUGGGUAAGGAAAGUGGAACUCCUCCUUCAGCCAGCCUCCUCACUCCUCUUCUUGUCCCCAGAUCCUUCUGUCCAGCCUUUCCCUCCUCCCACCUGCUGACUCUAAUCCACUCUGCUUUCCACCUUUCACUCCCUCCCCUAGAAACUCAGGAGGUCUUAAGGCAUGUUUCAGGAAGCGCUGUUCCCUGGCAUGGGCUCUCCAUUGUCUGCUCCACUGAGAAGCGGUUGGCUUCCAGAAAGUUUGAGAAAUUGCUUUUCAGCAAGAGGGCGGGCACCCCAGUCAGUUUAGGGUGAUAGUCUCUAGUGAGUACAGUUGGCAAAGCCAUUUCUCUGCCCCACAGGGUGUGAGUACUUGACAUUGGCCCUUGUGAGUUAGAAAUUGUUAGCUAUGGAGGUGUAAUAAGUUUGUCCAGACCCACAGUAACUCUUGCUGCUUAAGCUUCUACCAAAAAGGUUUCUACUUGUCAAACCAUCGGUCUCCCCACAGAGGGUGUCUCAUUUUCCCUCUGUCUCAUUUUUCUUGUUUUUACUCUGUUAUCCUUACUGUCUCUUCUCUUGUGUCUUUCUUUCUGGUUUGAUCUUUUUUCCCCUUUUGUUUUCUGAGGCUAAACAGGAACCUGGAGAAGAUGUGGGGAUGGUGGUAAUCCAAAGAAGGAGCCUUAACCUGAGCACCUGUCUUAGGAGGCAGACCCCCCUACCCUAGUGGGAGUGAAUGUUGCCCCGCAACCUGGGUCUUCAGAUGCCCUCUUAGGCACCACCUUGGUUUCAGAUGUGUCUUCCAGACCUACCACAGAUGGAUGUCUCACACUCUAACCCAAUAUCCCCAAGGAUUAGAACCCUAAACUCCUUCCUCCCAUGCCCACCGCGUGGCAGGUCCAUACAGAAGCAAAACAUGGUCACCUUUAGACUCUGGCAUACUGAGGCCAGGCCCUGACCCUGUCGGCCUCAACUUCCUGCCAGUUGAUUACUCGAUAAAAAUAUUGUUAAAUA
Molecule: long non-coding RNA, 1114 nt
Filed under: Lynx pardinus (Iberian lynx)
Lineage: Eukaryota; Metazoa; Chordata; Mammalia; Carnivora; Felidae
Source: RNAcentral